Molecule: non-coding RNA, 1749 nt
Organism: Benincasa hispida (wax gourd)
Lineage: Eukaryota; Viridiplantae; Streptophyta; Magnoliopsida; Cucurbitales; Cucurbitaceae
Source: RefSeq, a predicted model, not a curated record
UCUCUCUUUCAUUUCGCCACCUUUCUUCUCUCUCCUUUCUCACUUCUCUCUUACAAACCCUCUCUUCCCCUUAUCGUCCAGAUCUGGUUGUUCGUGUAUCGAUCUGUCGUGGGGUUUAGUGGAGGUGGGUCGCUGGUUGUCAGAUUUGGCAAUUCAACUCGCCAUUCAGCUCGUUCGUCGUGGAGGUGGGUCACCAGCGUUCAGGUUCCGGGUCUUUCGAUCUGUAGAGGUCUUCCGAUCGUCGUGGUUGGUAGUUUAGUCGUGGGUCUUUCGUCUGUAGAGGUGGGUCGUGGAUGUGGGUCACCAACGUUUGAGUCUUCCGGGUCGUGGGCUUUUCUAAUCUGUAGAGGUGGGACGCUGGCGAUCAUCACCAACUCGUCAUGGGUCAUUUUCAUUCAACAUUGUCUUCAUCUAGCGUUGUCGUUCUUUGCCAUUCCGGUGGUGCAGAUCGCCAUUCACAGCUCGCUCAGAUCUAGUCGGCCAACUCUGUCGUGGGGUUCUUCAGCUUAUUAUCCAGCUCCUUCUGGUUGUCAGAUCUGUUUGCUCUGUCGUUUUUUUGGUCGGAUCUUUUCGCUUCGCCUGUUCUUUUAGCCCCGAUCUUCACUCAGAUUUGUUUUUUCGAGGAGAUUUCCAGCUUAUGUGUGAAGCCUUGCGAAUGAGUAAAUACCAUCACUACGGUUUUCAACAUUAAGAAGUCUGAGGGAAUAAGGACGUUUCUUUUCAUCAUCAUAGUUGUCAAAAUAUUGAUAAGAUAUGGAGAAGUAAUAUCUUAUCUUGUCGUGUCUAUUUCGACAUUGAUCUUCAGGGGGGCUAGCUUAUAUUCACAUUGUUCCUGGAGUUUGUCAUCAAGAUGUAAAGCCUCAUAAUCUUUUGGUAUGUAACGUAUUUGUGUCUUAUUAUUUGUGAGCUAAGUAAUAGUUUCUCUGCUCCUCAUCUUUCAUGGGUUCAUUUUGAUUCUUCUUUCCGACGCUUUUAAUCUUAAGAGAAUAACCUGGAAGCGUUUCGUUGAGCUUUGGAAGCUUAGGCUCUAAUGGGUUUCAUCAGAUCUUAUAAGCCCACCAAUGGCUUCUCUCCUAGAUGGGUUUUUCUAUUUAGCAUUGCUAGCUUCUUCCUGGGUAUUUUUGUUGUCGAUAGCAAUAUCAAGUCAAACUUAUGGGAUAAAGAGGGAUUGGCAAGGAGAUCUAUGUGUGCCGGUGGAAUACCCUUAGAGUGGAUUGAAUUGUAGCAAUGCAACUACUUCAAGAAUCAUUUAUUUACGACAUCACGCAUCUUGCGGAUUGGAAGGUGGAAAGGUUCGAGACGAACAUUUUGAAGAGGAGUUGUGCCUGAGAUUGCUACAAAAAAAGGGAAAGGACUACCCUAUUGGCCCUAUUCUUCUUGGAUUCUUCAUUUUUGUCAUCAUUGGAUCAUGUGAGUUUUAGAUUUUGGAUGCUAAUUUCCUCUUUUCCUCUUUCAUAUGCUUAUGCUUAUGUUUUGGCAUACUUUGGAUUUUUAUUAUGUGAUUUGAGCUUCUUUGUGGUUGUUUAUAACAAGAACAUGAUAUCUCGGCCUUCUUUGCAAAUUUCCAUGAAGACUCGAAAUCAAAGAUUUGAGAAUUUAUGUACAUACGUAUAUGUGUGCAGAAAUGUAAUUGUUUAAAUGUUGGUUGUUUAAAUGAUAUCUCGACCUACUGUAUGGUUGUUUAAAUGUUGUCUUUCCAUAGCUCUAUAGCUUGAAUUUCAUAAAUUCUUUUGUGUGGGGUAGUUGAAU